Molecule: long non-coding RNA, 4700 nt
Organism: Marmota monax (woodchuck)
Lineage: Eukaryota; Metazoa; Chordata; Mammalia; Rodentia; Sciuridae
Exons: 2
Source: RefSeq, a predicted model, not a curated record
UAUGACAGAGCUCCUUCCUGGUGGUUUUCAGAGAUGUCAGGAAGAGUGGUAAAGCCACAGAGGACUCAAGAGAUGCCCUGCUGCACCAUCUUCACCUAUCCUUGAGAUGCAGGGUGAAUGAGUGAAGACUACAGAAGAAGAGAGGUCUCCAAAGAAGGGUCUGAGGAGUUCCCAGAAGAGAAAUAACGAGGUGCUGCAAGAAGUCAAAUAUGAGCUCAGAAGUGGGUGGGCAAGGCAAAUGUAAUUCUGCAGAAGAAUGUGCUUCCAAAGGUGAGCAAGCACACCUGGGUGGGCAGUCUGCCAAUAUUCAUCCCUAAUGAGGUACUGCCCCUCAAUCCCAAUAGGAAGCACUUGGGGGUGGGUACAAUCUAUGCAAUUGACUAAUUUUAUAAUUUUAUAAUUAAGGUGGGCAAAAGAGAAGGGCUACAAUUGAAUCCAAUUAAGGCUGAAUACUAGAUUUUGAAAAUGAACCACCAGACUUUGUAUUUCUCUCACAGAAGAGAGGGAAAAGAAUUUCAGCUUGAGCCAGACAAAGGCAUAGGCACGUUUAUUUAGGAAGGCAGACACACAUUCAAGGGAGAAUGUGGGCUAUCUGGAGAGUGAGAAGCAGCCCUGACUUGGGCUGGGGGUCCAAUAUUUAUAGGACUGUUUCAGGGGCUGGUCUAGAGGUGGAUUCAGGCUGGAGCUGCAAAAUUUUGCACCAGUUUUCCCUGACCUUGCAUAUUUCCCUCGUUUUACAAGGGCAUUGGCCAGCUAUUGGGUUGCUCAAGAUUUAUAACUAUGCUUUCUACAUCUAAAUGACUUGUGGGUGUUUUCUUUAAGAUUCAGUAUUUCUCUCUUUGUCCUAAAUCCCUAUCUUGCUCUCUCCCUCUUCCUCCCUAAUAUUGCCCCCUUCCUAAUCUCAGGGAGAAAAGGAUUACCUUUCUUCCUUAUCCUAGGCAGAGUUAUCUGUCUUUGAGCACAAACCCACCACAGGAAAGAAGUGAUUCAGAUUUGGGGGAUGACACCAGAAGAUCUCAGAAAUGACCAUCUCCCAAAUUAACAAGUAAAUUACAACUCCAACAGAGAACAUGUGGAAUGUAACCUUUGAUUCACCUCUUUAUAAAUCCCUGUUCCCCCAGAAGGGCAGAAUCACAGCCUCUGAGUCAGGAGUGACACCAAAAAUGAAAUAAAUGUCAGCAAUAGUAUAGUGGAUGAAAGGAAGUUGUAAUUGAGAAUGCUCUGUUAUAAGGUAACUGUGCUACUAAUGAAGCAGUAUAAUGUUAUUUGGAAGUGGACUUAAACUUGACCUGGUGGCACAUGCCUAUAAUUCCACUACUUGGGAGGCUGAGGGAGUAGGAUUGUAAGUUCAAGGGCAACCUUGUGAACUUAGGAAGACCUUUUCUCAAAAUUAAAAAAAAAAUGGGGGUAUAACUCAGUGGUUGAGCACUCCUGGGGUUCAAUCCUCAUUACCAUCCCCCCCACACACAAAGUAGAUUUAGAUAGUUAUGAAUGUAUAUUGAAAACUCUAGGGAAAGCACUAAAAAUAUUUUAAAAAUAUAAUUUAACAUGCUAAGUAAAGAAAAAAAAUGGAUUCAUAUAAAAUUUUCAGUCAAAACCAAAGAAGGGAGGAAAAAAAGAGGGAAGAUAUAAAAAAAAAACCCCAAAAAUUAUAAUGAAUAGAACACACAAACACAAUAAAAUUAAUCAAACUUUAUCAACAGUCACUUUAAAUUUGAAUUGUCUAAAUACAUCAAUUGAAAGGUAAAGGCUUUCAGAGUAUAUCUAAAAAGACCCAACUAUAUCAUUUCUAAAUUCACUUUAUAUAUAAAAACAUACAUUUAAGGUGAAGGGAUGGAGAAAGAUAUACCUUAAUGAUACAAAUGAAAUGAUAACUGAAGUACCAAUUUCAGACAAAAAAGAUUUCAGAAAAUGAUUAGGGAUAAAGAAUGGUCAAUUCUCCAAGAAGACAUUACAGUCCUUAACAUGUACGCACCUUAACAACAGAUUAUCAAAAUAAUGUAAAGCAAAACUGAUUGAACAGAAAGAAGAAAAAGAACUCCAUUAUUAUAGUUGGAAACUUUAACACUCUUUUAUUAGUAAUUGGCAGAUCCAGCUGGCAGAAAAUCAGUGAGGACAGUUGAACUGGAGAACACCAUCAAUCAAUUGGAUAUAAGUGACAUUUAUCAAAUACUUCAUCCAACCAAGCAGAAUAGAAAUUCUUCUCAAGCUUGCAUGGAACAUUUGCCAAGAUAGACCACUUUCUAGGUCAUAAACCAUAUCCUAACAAAUUUAAAAGAAAAUAAAUCAUACAAAGCUUGCUUCCAGACCACAAUGAAAUUAAACUAGAAAUCAAUAGCAGAAACAUAGCUAGAAAAUGCCAAAACAUUUAGAUGUUAAACAUACUUCUAAAUAACCCAUGCAUCAAAAAACUCUGAAGAGAAAUUAAACAUUUUAAAAAAUAUCUUGAAGUGAAAUGAAAAUAUAACCCAUCAAAAUUUUUGGAUACAGCAAAAUGCAGUGCUUAUAGGGAAAUUUAUAGCACUGAAUGUGUAUUAUUAGAAAAGAAGAAAAACCUAAACAGUAAUCUAAGCUUUCACCUUAGGAAACUAGAGAAAUAAAAGCAAUACAAGCCUAUUGCUAGCAAAAGAAAAGAAAUAAUAAGAACUGCUGGGUGCAGUAGCUCAUGCCUGUAACCCCAGUGACUCAGGAGGCUGAGGCAGAAAGAUCUCAAGUUCAAGGCCAUCCUUAGCAACUUAGCCAGACCCUAAGCAACUUAGCAAGAUCCUGUCUCAAAUUUAAAAAAAAAAAAUAUAUGAUUGGGGAUCUAGUUCAGUGGUAAAGUGCUCCUUGGUUCAAUACCCCCUGCCAAAAAAGGUAGUAAAAACUACAGGAGAAAUCAAUGGAAUUGAGAAUAGGAAAACAAUAAAGAAUAUCAACAAAAUUAGAAACUGUCUCUUUGAAAAGAUUAAUAAAAUUGAUAAAUCUAUAACCAGGCUAAUCAAGACAAAAAGAGGAAAGAUGCAAAUUACUAAUAUCAGAAAUGAAAGAGACACCAUCACAAUAGAUCUCAUGAAAAUUAAAAAGAUAAUAAAGAAAUACUAUGAAUAACUCUAUGCCCACAAAUUUGGUAACUUAGAUGAAAUGGACCAAUUCCCGGAAAGAAGCAACUUGGUAAGAUGCUAUCUUAAGAUGAAAAUAAAAAUGGCCAGGGAUGUACCCCAGUGAUAGAACAGCAUUUCUGGGAUCCAUCCCCAGUAGCAAAAAAAUAAAUAGAUUAAUAAAUUAAUUAAAAGAGAAAUGGAUCAUUUAAUUGCCAGAAACUGUAAACAAUCAAGAUGAUACUAAUAGGUAAGUGGAUAAACAAAAUUCAAUGCAUUCAUACAAUGGAAUAUCAUUUGGCAGUGAAAAAAUUAAAAGCUAUCAAAACGUGAAAAAGCAUGGAGGAACCUUACAGGUGUAUUCUUAAGUGAAGACGUUGUAUGAAAAAUCUACCUAGUAUGCAAUCCCAACUAUAUGAUUUUCUGGAAAAGGCACACUUUUAGAUACAGUUGGGCUAGGGUUAUAGUUCAGUGGUAGAAUACUUACCUAAUAUGCACAAGGCCCUGGGUUCAAUUUCUGGCAUUGGAAAAGAAAAUUCUGAAGAUAUGAAAAAAGGUCAGUGGUCACCAGGGUAUUAGGAUGAGAUUGGUUUGGAGAAAAGAUAUAAAUAGAUGAAGCACAGAGAAAUUUUAGGGUAGUGAAACUAUUUCAUUUGAUACUAUUAUAGUAGAUAAUAGUAUCAAAUGGAUAAUAGUAUCAAAUGCCAAAAUCCAUAGAACUGUAUAACACAGUGAACCUUAAUAUAAACUAUAGUCUUUAUUUAAUAAUAAUGAACAAUAUUGAUUCAUUAAUUGUAGCAAGUGUACCACACUAAUACAAGAUGUUAAUACCAUGUACUAAUACCACCCAAGAUGUUAAUAUUGAGGGAAAAUGUGUAGGGGAAUAGGGAUAUAUGGGAACUAUUUGUACUAUUGGUUCAAUUUUCUUUUGUAAAACUAAAACUUCUAAAAAAUUUUAUUAAUCAAAAAUACUUUCAGCUUCAUAUACCUUCUAAACCUACCUUGAAUAACAGGACUCAAAGCUACCAGCUUAGUGUUUCCUCUUGGUAUAUAGUAUUCUUUUACCAACCUUCCUUAUCACCCUGAGAUCACAGGAAGGGAAGCCUAAGUGUUCUUUUUCACCUACUGCAUGACAGGUAGCUGUGCUUAUUUUUUGGCCUUCAGUAUUGGCUACCAAUAUUCCUUCCAGCACUGACUGCAGACAUUGUUUAUCAAUUAUAACCCUCUCUCACUAAGCCUGGGAAGUCUUGAGGCUGUACCACUAUAAUUCUUAAUUAGUUGGGGCUUAGCACAAUAAACAAGUACCAUUUUCUAUGUCUGAACUAGGUAUUUAUAAUUAAUUCCACAAUAGAGAUGUAAUUGCCUCAGGUUUCUUCUUGGAUCUUCAUCUAUUUCUUAGAGCAAAUUGUCAAUAUUUGUUCUUAUGAAAAAUGAUUUUGAAAGUACUAUUUUGCUUCUAAAAUGCCUCAUAAAAAUGGAAUGUUUCUGAGUAAUAAUUAACAUUUUCCUUCUUGCAUACUGGUUUUCAAAACUCUCAAACACAGAAAGUUUUCUCCCAGGUUUAUGGAAUAGAGUGGAGGUCAGCAAACUGACUGAUAAUAAAUAUUUUUGUUUUUGCAA